UUGACGGGGCCCGCACAAGCGGUGGAGUAUGUGGUUUAAUUCGAUGCAACGCGAGGAACCUUACCUGGUCUUGACAUCCCGGAGACCCUUAGGAACUAGGGGUGCUUCCAUCUGGAAGAAUCUGGAGACAGGUGCUGCAUGGCUGUCGUCAGCUCGUGUCGUGAGAUGUUGGGUCAAGUCCCGCAACGAGCGCAACCCUUGCCUUUAGUUGCCAGCAGUUCGGCUGGGCACUCUAAAGGGACUGCCGGUGUUAAACCGGAGGAAGGUGGGAUGACGUCAAGUCCUCAUGGCCUUUAUGACCAGGGCUACACACGUACUACAAUGGCCGAUACAAAGGGCAGCGACACUGCGAGGUGAAGCCAAUCCCGUAAAAUCGGUCUCAGUCCGGAUUGGAGUCUGCAACUCGACUCCAUGAAGUUGGAAUCGCUAGUAAUCGUGGAUCAGCAUGCCACGGUGAAUACGUUCCCGGGCCUU
This 474-nucleotide ribosomal RNA is filed under the name uncultured Desulfobulbus sp. Its description in RNAcentral is "bacterial SSU rRNA". It matches the Rfam family "Bacterial small subunit ribosomal RNA", at positions 910 to 1382 of the family's 1533-position model. The record is from RNAcentral. Lineage: Bacteria; Pseudomonadati; Thermodesulfobacteriota; Desulfobulbia; Desulfobulbales; Desulfobulbaceae.